RNAcentral lists this ribosomal RNA (253 nucleotides) under uncultured bacterium. Its description in RNAcentral is "partial 16S ribosomal RNA". It matches the Rfam family "Bacterial small subunit ribosomal RNA", at positions 524 to 776 of the family's 1533-position model. The record is from RNAcentral.
UACGUAGGGGGCAAGCGUUGUUCGGAAUUACUGGGCGUAAAGGGCUCGUAGGCGGCCAACUAAGUCAGACGUGAAAUCCCUCGGCUUAACCGGGGAACUGCGUCUGAUACUGGAUGGCUUGAGUUCGGGAGAGGGAUGCGGAAUUCCAGGUGUAGCGGUGAAAUGCGUAGAUAUCUGGAGGAACACCGGUGGCGAAGGCGGCUAUCUGGCCCGUAAUUGACGCUGAGGCGCGAAAGCGUGGGGAGCAAACAGG